CCAGACUCCUACGGGAGGCAGCAGUGGGGGAUAUUGCACAAUGGAGGGAACUCUGAUGCAGCGACGCCGCGUGAGGGAAGAAGGUUUUCGGAUUGUAAACCUCUGUCUUCGGUGACGAAACGAGACGGUAGCCGAGGAGGAAGCCACGGCUAACUACGUGCCAGCAGCCGCGGUAAUACGUAGGGGGCAAGCGUUAUCCGGAUUCACUGGGUGUAAAGGGAGCGCAGGCGGUACGGCGAGUCUGAUGUGAAAACCCGGGGCCCAACCCCGGGACCGCACCGGAUACUGCCGGACUCGAGUGCCGGAGGGGCAGGCGGAAUUCCUGGUGUAGCGGUGAAAUGCGCAGAUAUCAGGAGGAACACCGGUGGCGAAGGCGGCCUGCUGGACGGUAACUGACGCUGAGGCUCGAAAGCGUGGGGAGCGAACAGGAUUAGAUACCCGCGUAUC
This 447-nucleotide ribosomal RNA is filed under the name uncultured bacterium. RNAcentral's name for it is "bacterial SSU rRNA". It matches the Rfam family "Bacterial small subunit ribosomal RNA", at positions 331 to 794 of the family's 1533-position model. The record is from RNAcentral.